Molecule: RNA transcript, 4415 nt
Organism: Penaeus chinensis
Lineage: Eukaryota; Metazoa; Arthropoda; Malacostraca; Decapoda; Penaeidae
Gene name: DDB1- and CUL4-associated factor 6-like
Exons: 15
Source: RefSeq, a predicted model, not a curated record
CAGCCUAAACCAAAACAGCACAGGUCCCCCAUAGUCCUGCGAGUCGACCCCAAUUAACUUACGAUCGUCUGUUAUUACUCGCACAGUGAAUGCGAUUUCUCGGGGUUAAGAAGCCAUACAACAAAGGGUUGACGUAACCGAAACACAUCCCCAAUGUUAAGAUAUAUAAUCAACCGACAAUAUGAUCCAGUCAACAACAAUCUUUGCUUUCCACUGGCAAAAGGCAGUGAAUGGCUUCUACAGAGGAUGUCACUUAUGCAGAUGAUGGAAGUCCACCGAGGGUGUGUCAACACUGUGGUAUGGGACGCCCCGGGCAACCUUCUCCUCUCGGGCUCAGAUGACCAACAUCUCGUUAUCUGUGAUCCAUGGGAACGCAUGACAAAAGUACGCAUCCACACUGCUCAUCGAGCCAACAUCUUCAGUGCAAAAUUCAUGCCACAUACUGCUAACAGAAAAAUAAUGUCAUGUUCUGGAGAUGGCAUUCUUGUAUAUACAGAUAUAGAAAAGCAAGAGGAGACCCAUGACUGCAAAUUCACUUGCCAUGUGAGCACCUGCUAUGAUAUUGUUACUCUUCCUGAUGAUCCUCACACAUUUCUCACCUGUGGAGAAGAUGGGACUGUGCGGUGGUUUGACUUGCGGGCAAAGGUGCAGUGCACAACAAGAAAUUGUCAGGAGGACAUUCUUCUAAACAUGGGACGUGCAGUAACUGCAGUGGCAGUAAAUCCUAUUACCCCAUAUCAUUUGGCUGUGGCUACUCAAGAUUCAACCAUCAGAAUUUAUGAUAGACGUGUCCUGGGGACUAGAGCCACAGAUACCUUUGUGGAGCAGACAGACAGAGCUCUUCUUAUGAGGUUGAAGCCAGACAACAUGGAAGGCAAGAACCAUAGAGUUACAUCUUUACGUUAUAGUCAGGAUGGGAGAGAGGUGCUUGCAAGUUAUUCCUCAGAUUAUUUAUAUCUUUUUGAUACAGAGAACUUUAAAGAGAUUACACUUGAAGGUGCUAAUGAUGUUGAUAUGGAAGCCAACUCUGGACCCACGUUGAAACGUCUGCGUCUCAGGGGUGAUUGGUCAGACACUGGUCCCCAGGCACUACCAGAAUGUGAGAUGCGCAACCAGGCAGGAGAUGUUGGCCAAGCAAGACCAACAUUGCAUGCAACGCUUAUGCAGAGGAUGACAGACGUUUUGUCUAGAAUGCUAAAUGAUCCGGGCACUAGAGCCACAGUUCAAAGAACAACUUCAGAAUCUGAGGUACAGAACCCUUCAGAAUCUCCCUCAGAAAAUGUAAGAGAUGGAGAGGAAGCUGCAGAUGCAGUACAACAUUCAGUAAGUAAUGUGAAUGAGCCAUCACCUUUAUCAUCUUUGGAAGCCCCAAGUUCAAGUAUUCAGCAAACCAUGACACAGUCUCCAGGAACAUCAGAGGAUAAUGCUGCUCCAGAGAGUAUGAAUGAUCAGUGUUUUGAAAAUGAAGAAGCAGGAGAAAGACUAGAACAAAGUGCCACACACAGUAUGCCAGAGACUCAGCAAGACCCUCAAGAAACAGAACAAGCAAUAACUACCCAAGAGACAGAUGAAACACCGCUUGAAGAAGAGGAGGAGGAUGCACACAUGAAAGACUCUCAGAGAGCUACAUUAUCAGGUCUCCGACACAGGCUAUCAUCACUGAGACAAGGGUUUGUAGAAAAACAUCAGGUAGAACCAUCAAUCAGCCUUUCAUAUUCUGGCCAAGGAGUUAGCAGUGGUAUGAUCAGCUUUGGUGUUGGGGAUGAAGUCACUCGUAGCAGCACACCCAAUCAGUCAGAACAGGACAUCGGUCCAAGUUUGACAGUGCCAAGUACAAGUGGGACCACUAGCUCAGAGGCUCCAAACUCUGAAGAAACCUCACAGUCCCAGGAAGCACCAAAACACAAACCUGAAAGAGGUGAACAGCCCUGCUGCUCAUCAACUUCAUCCUCCUUAGCAUCAUCAUCAUCUUCAUUGCAUCAGCCCCAACCAGUUAGAGCUCAUACAUUAACAACUUCGAGUUCUAGUCCUGCCAUCUGUGAUAUGGAAGUAGGAGCAUCAUCUAGUCAAGAAGGGAGAGAUAGUUUGGGUCCUGAGGCUGUGACGGCAGGAUCAUCAAACCGUGGGGCAGUUGCCAGUGAGAUAAACCUGGGACACACUGUAGAUUUUGGAGACGAUGACAGUGAUGAUGAGUCAGCAACUGCCAGAAGCACAAGUGCACGUAUGGCUAGUGCAAUUGAGCGUGCUGUACAACGUGUGAAAGGAGAACGUGCUGCAGGUGUCGUUGGAGAUAGAGAAGUGCUGGUUCCACAGGCUUCUGUCAAGCAGUGUUAUAAAGGCCAUCGUAAUGCAAGAACUAUGAUUAAAGAAGCUUGUUUUUGGGGAGACUCUCAUGUCAUGUCUGGAUCUGACUGUGGACGUGUUUUUGUGUGGGAACGAAAGACUGGGAGACUAGUAAUGCUUUGGGAAGCAGACCGACAUGUAGUAAAUUGCCUGCAACCUCAUCCAACUCUACCAGUUCUUGCCACAUCAGGCAUAGAUUAUGAUGUAAAACUCUGGGCUCCAGUGUGUGAAGAAUCUCGCUUUGAUGAAGCAAAGGCCCUAGAGAUAACAAGGCGAAACGAAGCUUUGUUAGAGGAGACAAGAGACACCAUCACCGUACCUGCAACUUUCAUGAUAAGAAUGCUGGCUUCUCUCAACCAAAUUAGACGCGGCACAGGUCACGUGAUCUAUUUAAGCAACUCUGACUAGUGAUACGCAUGACAAGAGAAGAGGGUCCAUGUCUGAUGAUGAGCAAGACAGCAUUGUUGCAGAAAUGUAAGGGAGCUUCCUUCGCUGAACGAUGGAGGAACCGACAUCAGAACCGAAGACAAGAGGAAGAAGAUCAGGGAGGCAGUGCUGAAUAAUUUUUUUUCUCUCUUUAUAUUUUCUGCCUUUGUUAUGUGGAUAUGUGAUAUCUUAUGUUUGUCAUUUAAUGACAUCUUUAUUAUAUAUAUUUAAUGAAAGAAGUAAGUGAUAUGAGAAUAGAUAGAGCAGAUGAUAUAGUCAAGUUAGAAGUAAGAAUGGAUACUCAGAGUAUGUUCUAAAUGAAUUCUCAGUAGAUAUACAGACUGCAUAAUAUUUAUUAGUAUAAUUGAUAUAUGAGAGAUAUUCCUGUUUAACUAUGAUUUAAAAUGAAUAUUUGCAAAAUUUAUAAAGUAAGUGUAUUAAAAAAGAGUACAGGUAAAUGUGUUCAUGUGUUUUUGUAUGUCAGUACAAGUUUGUGUGUGCGCGCGUGUGCGUGUGUGCAUGCAUUUGCGUGUGCAUGUGUUGUAUGUGUGUGCGCAAGCGUGUGAAAGCAUGCGCAAGUGUGUGUUUGCUUGUUUGUUUUCUUGAUAUUACUUUGUUGAGCUGAGCACCUCUUGUGUAGGGAUAUAAUUUUUUUUUGAGAGAUUAGUGAAAUAUCUGAUAAAAUUAAUCUAAUUAAAACAGAAAGAUUGUUUGUUACAGUAUUUUCAGUCUGUACAUUUAGUUAAUAUAUUUUUGAAUAGUGACAUUUGUAGUAAAUCAUGCAAAGAUAUUUCAUCUCAUUUUCUAGUUCUUGAUUAUCCUAUGGUUUGGAUGCAGUAUACAGCAUGUACCCUUACAUUUUUUAUAAUGAAAAUAGAGUUGCACAUAUGUGGUGCAUUCAGAAGGCAAUUGAUACAGUAAGGAUUAGGUAUGUAGGUCUGUAUGUUGCUCAUAUUUUAUACUUCUCCAAUCCAUGUCUAGACAAGAUUAUUUUAACAGCUGUGAAAUAUAAUGUAUUAGGAGAAUAUUCCUUCAGUCUGUUAUUCUUUAACUGAGAAAAUGUCUGCAACAUAGCUACUUCUUAAUAUGCAUAGGGUUUUCAUAACCACAGUUAUUGAUGUUCUAAUAGUGUUUACAUUUGUACAUGGUUUAGAAUUUUGAAUGUUUCUAUUAGGUUUCCCAUACUGUAUUUUGCCUAGCUUUUCAUUUAUCAUUCUUGUUGCUCCAUGAUAUACUGUUUGUUUAUCUUUAAAGGGAUACAAACAUACUGUGAUGAUUUUUCUAACUGUGGAAGCUUCUUGGUUUUCCUUCAUUUUGUACCCAAAUCAUUUAUUGCUAAUUGGUUAUCAACCCCAAAUGACUUUUUACAGGUCUCAGUUUUUUUGGUGCUUUAUUUAAAAUAGUCCUAAUAUUUCUCUCUCAUUUGUCAUUUCUUAGUUGUGUGAGCAAAUGGAGCCUAAUGAGGAUUGUUGUAUGCAUUUUUAACUUUGUAAUGCAAAUAUUUAAGUGAAUUUUUUUGAACUGUAGAAGAGAAGACAUCAUCUGUCUCUGCCAAUUCAUAUAUUCGUAAGUAUUUACUUAUUGUCUUGGCCCGACUAUCAUUGGUGCCUUUCUUGCAGCAUAUUUCAGUAAAUCAAGGAAUUUUG